GCACAACGCGAAGAACCUUACCUAGGCUUGACAUGCAUCUCUAAGCACGUGAAAGCGUGUGACCCUUCGGGGAAUUUGCACAGGUGCUGCAUGGCCGUCGUCAGCUCGUGCCGUGAGAUGUUGGGUUAAGUCCCGCAACGAGCGCAACCCUUGUGACUAGUUGCCAGCACGUUAUGGUGGGAACUCUAGUCAGACUGCCCAGAUCAACUGGGAGGAAGGUGGGGACGAUGUCAGGUCAGUAUGGCCCUUACGCCUAGGGCUGCACACGUACUACAAUGCCCAGCACAAUGAGAACCGAGACCGCGAGGUGGAGGAAAUCACCAAAACUGGGCUCAGUUCAGAUUGAAGUCUGCAAUUCGACUUCAUGAAGCUGGAAUCGCUAGUAAUCGCGGAUCAGCAUGCCGC
This 405-nucleotide ribosomal RNA is filed under the name uncultured bacterium. RNAcentral describes it as "bacterial SSU rRNA". It matches the Rfam family "Bacterial small subunit ribosomal RNA", at positions 954 to 1360 of the family's 1533-position model. The record is from RNAcentral.